Molecule: transfer RNA, 72 nt
Filed under: Bacillota bacterium
Lineage: Bacteria; Bacillati; Bacillota
Description: tRNA-Glu
Rfam family: tRNA
About the family: Transfer RNA (tRNA) molecules are approximately 80 nucleotides in length.
Source: RNAcentral
GCUGCCAUCGUCUAGUGGUUAGGACGAGAGAUUUUCAUUCUCUAAACUCGGGUUCGAUUCCCGGUGGUAGUA